This 459-nucleotide ribosomal RNA is filed under the name uncultured bacterium. Its description in RNAcentral is "partial 16S ribosomal RNA". It matches the Rfam family "Bacterial small subunit ribosomal RNA", at positions 338 to 795 of the family's 1533-position model. The record is from RNAcentral.
CCUACGGGCGGCAGCAGUGAGGAAUAUUGGUCCAUGGGCGGAAGCCUGAACCAGCCAAGUAGCGUGCGGGAUGACGGCCCUACGGGUCGUAAACCGCUUUUGCACGGGGAUAACACCCUCCACUUGUGGAGGUCUGCAGGUACCGUGCGAAUAAGGGCCGGCUAAUUCCGUGCCAGCAGCCGCGGUACUACGGAAGGCCCGAGCGUUAUCCGGAUUCAUUGGGUUUAAAGGGAGCGUAGGCGGGCGUUCAAGUCAGCUGUAAAAUCGCGCGGCUCAACCGCGCCCCGCAGUUGAAACUGGGGGCCUUGAGUUCACAACAGGCAGGCGGAAUGCGUGGUGUAGCGGUGAAAUGCAUAGAUAUCACGAGGAACCCCGAUUGCGAAGGCAGCCUGCCGGGGUGCGACUGACGCUGAGGCUCGAAGGUGCGGGUAUCAAACAGGAUUAGAUACCCGAGUAGUC